AACAAUGCAAACGCUAAUGGGGUUAGCUAUAUGCAUAUAUUGAGUUAGCUGGGAGACGAUAUUGCCCAGGACAUUGUUUAAUUUGUAAUUAAGCAACAAUGUCGUCAGUUGAGCAUUUGAGGAGAUUUGUCAACGAGCGACUAACUGCUGCUGCUGAAGAAAUAUUUGGAGUUUUUAAGAAGACUAUCGUCGCGUAUGAGGAAGAAAUCAACCGUCAGCGCAGACUGUUGGACAUCGUAUGGAACCCUGAAAUAAAGUUACUCAGAAUAGUGGUAUCCUCUUCCUCUUUCUUUUUUUGUGUCCCCUCCAGAGCUCCCACAGCAUCAGGUCGGUAUGAAGGAGGAUGUUCUCGCUGACCAGCAGGACCCAGAGCCUCCACAGAUUAAAGAGGAACUGGAGGAACUCUGCACCAGUCCGGAGGGAGAGCAGCUUGAACUGAAGCAAGAGACUGACACCCUUAUCUUGACACCUACAUCAGAGGGAAAUGACCACAGUGAAGCUCAGUCUCUGUAUUUUCCUCCUGACAAAUGUCUGAAUGCAGCAGACACAGAGCUUCCAGCUAGCGUGUGUAUCACUUGGCAAAAUGAUGAAUCAGACUCUGAAGACUCGGAUGUAUCAGACCCAAAAAAUGUACACCAGCUUCUCUUCCACAACUUCCUUGUAGCUCAAAGCCAACAUCAAAAUGGAAGCGAGCAUGGAGACUCAGGAUCAACAAGUAACGUGCAGCCAGACCCCCAAAAAAGUCACACUCACUACUUAAUCAACACUAACUUGUCAGGGAUUUGCUGUAAUAAAGGUAAAAAGUUUCUCAAAUGUGACACGUGUGAGAAAACUUUUAGGUAUAGGUCAGAUUUGCAGAGACACCUGCUGAUACACACAGGUGAGAAGCCAUAUUCUUGCAACAUGUGUGGAAAAAGAUUCAAUCAGAAAGCAAGACUGAGCGGCCAUAUGAGGAUCCACACAGGUGAGAAGCCAUAUUCUUGCAAAACCUGUGGGAAAUAUUUCCGACAUAACAGUCAGUUGACAGUCCACAUGAGAGGCCACACGGGAGAGAAGCCAUUUACUUGCAACACCUGCGGGAAAGAUUUCAGACGUAGUGAUGAAUUGGCAGCCCACAUAAGAAGAAUCCACUAACCUUAUUUUUUCUUCAUACAGUGUAUUACUCGUAUAUCGAGAUCGUUUAAUGCUGCAUCUCAGCAGCUAGGGUUCAGUUUAAGUAUGAUUUGAUACUGUUUGGUGUUUUCAUCAGUGCAGCUGUCUCAUAUUGAACAAACUUGUAUUCAGUAGAGGAAUGUAACUACAUGUACUCAAGUACUUUGUGCAGCAUUGAUUGUCUACGUAGCCAUGGUUGCAUGUAAAUUCCACACACAUAUGAAAUCUUGAACACUUCCAAUAAAAAAAAAAUUAGUUUUGAAGCAGUUCUGUCGCCAUCUUGUUUUUUUGAAGCCAGAAGUGACCAUAUAUGGCUGUGGAGGAGCAAGGGGUGAAGCUGACUGGGAAGCAGGGGCCACUAUGGCAGACAGCCCUUAAUUAAGCUUAACUUUAAGCCUUAAUAAAAUUGAAAUGGGUGAGUUGUAUAAAAUUUGACCUCUGUACAGUUAUAAUGAAUGGGGAAAUUAGCUAUAGAGACCAAAACCGUUUUUUCCAGGCUGUAAACAUGUUUAUUUCUGCUGAAAAGUGGACGUUUUAACAAGGGGGGUCUCUGGGAAUUGACUGACUUCUGGAGCCAGCCUCAAGGAGCCGUUCAGAGAACUGUACAUUUUGGCAUUUCAGUGUUGGUCUCAUUUUUCAGCCCCGGAGGUUGCUGCAUGAGGAAAAAGUUGCUCAAACUACUUUGUAAAAAAGAAAACCAAUAAUAAGAAUAAAAAAUGACUAUGUACAUCUGAUAUGACAAAGUGUAAAGCAAAUAAAGUCACAUACCAAAAAA
This is a non-coding RNA of Epinephelus lanceolatus (giant grouper), 1927 nucleotides long. Lineage: Eukaryota; Metazoa; Chordata; Actinopteri; Perciformes; Serranidae. The record is from RefSeq and is a predicted model, not a curated record.